This 390-nucleotide ribosomal RNA is filed under the name uncultured bacterium. RNAcentral describes it as "bacterial SSU rRNA". It matches the Rfam family "Bacterial small subunit ribosomal RNA", at positions 402 to 809 of the family's 1533-position model. The record is from RNAcentral.
UGAGUGAUGAAGGUCUUAGGAUUGUAAAGCUCUUUCACCGGUGAAGAUAAUGACGGUAACCGGAGAAGAAGCCCCGGCUAACUUCGUGCCAGCAGCCGCGGUAAUACGUAGGGUGCAAGCGUUAAUCGGAAUUACUGGGCGUAAAGCGUGCGCAGGCGGUUAUGCAAGACAGAGGUGAAAUCCCCGGGCUCAACCUGGGAACUGCCUUUGUGACUGCAUAGCUAGAGUGCGGCAGAGGGGGAUGGAAUUCCGCGUGUAGCAGUGAAAUGCGUAGAUAUGCGGAGGAACACCGAUGGCGAAGGCAAUCCCCUGGGCCUGCACUGACGCUCAUGCACGAAAGCGUGGGGAGCAAACAGGAUUAGAUACCCUGGUAGUCCACGCCCUAAACGA